GGGGAUGUUUUGGUUUUGACAGCAUUGACUCCGGAUGGUAAGCACGUCGUGCGCGUGGCGCGUCAGCACGUAAAUCCCGAUGGCCGUAAAUUCAGUUGCUAACAACAACGUUGCACUCGCUGCGUAAUCAACCAGGUUGAUCACCUUAAUCAGGCCGCCAAGGCUGCGGCACUGACGAGUAUCCCGCAGGCUUUAGGCCGGUUAUGUCCUGAACACGGGGUAUCAUUCAAACCGGAUGCACGGAGGGACUCCUUUAAACUCCGCCAAGCUCCAAAGGAUAAGCCCGGGUCAGCCCGCCUGCCGGCAUUCCCGGGACGAAAACCAAAGGCCGGAUAAACGUGUAGAAAGCCACCUGGUACGGUGUUUGGACGGCGGUUCGAGUCCGCCCAUCUCCAC
RNAcentral lists this transfer-messenger RNA (396 nucleotides) under pig gut metagenome. It matches the Rfam family "transfer-messenger RNA". From Rfam's summary of the family: Bacterial tmRNA, also known as 10Sa RNA or SsrA, is named for its dual tRNA and mRNA-like properties. Its role is to liberate the mRNA from a stalled ribosome. The record is from RNAcentral.